AAAAAAAUCAUAUCACUAUCAACCAAAUAAAUAUAGAUCAAGGUAUUAUCUACAAACUUGGUUACCUCCAAAAUCAAAACAAAUACAAAUAAACUAUAGUACUAGUAAUUUGAAGGUCGAGCUACUUUGAAUGAUUCGACAAACUUGAAAAUUAAAAAAUAGAACUAGGAAUGUGGAAGAAAUAACAAAAAAACUCACGUGACACCCAAAUAACAUUCUUGACUCAAUAUACGCUUCCAACUCUCUUUGGUUAAAUGAAAAUUCCUGUAAAGAAAAGCUCCGCAAAUUUAGUCUAACAGGUACAUAUAGAAAGUAAUUAAUGAAAUAUUAGCUUCAAGAAAAUAUUUCAAAUAUCUUACAUUGAAUAUUAGAACAAGAUCAACAACCAUCACAAUAAGUAGUCAAUAUAUUUCAAUAGCUGACUACGCUAACCUUAAAUGUGAGUAAAAUUAUUUUCAACUCUCAGAUGAUACAUUGUCAGUACUUGAAUCUACAGAGGGAAGGAAAAAAUGUAGAUAGUCAUUAAAAAAAAAAA
RNAcentral lists this long non-coding RNA (535 nucleotides) under Olea europaea (common olive). RNAcentral describes it as "long non-coding RNA (OEUR_LNC011705)". The record is from RNAcentral. Lineage: Eukaryota; Viridiplantae; Streptophyta; Magnoliopsida; Lamiales; Oleaceae.